Molecule: non-coding RNA, 1860 nt
Organism: Monodelphis domestica (gray short-tailed opossum)
Lineage: Eukaryota; Metazoa; Chordata; Mammalia; Didelphimorphia; Didelphidae
Source: RefSeq, a predicted model, not a curated record
CUUUCUGCGUGUGCUGCUGAGUGGAGAGGCAGAUGUGCUCUUGGGUCCUCGGACUUGGGCCUGACCAGGUUGCCGGGGCCUUGCUUUGUCCUUGGGCCUUCGAGGCCUCUCUCCCCACACUAGUGUGUGGGUCCCUCAAGUACCUGGCCUUUCUUUCCUGCCUAGACCUUUGUGGCUGGUUGGUGUGUGGAUCCCGAAGGCUGAAGAUAUCUGUCUCAUCAACAACAUAUUGUUGGAUCCUGGUUUCUAAUCCAUUCUGCUCUCCACUUUCUUUUUAUGGAGAAAAUCUUUGUGAUGCCUGGAAUCCUCUUCCUCAAUCAACUGUAACUGCUAUAUCUUUGAGGCCCAAGACCAUGAAAGCAUCCCACAGAAUCUGCUUCAGCCUUAUUGUCCUGAAGAUUUUCUUAGUCCUAUCCUCAGAGAUCAAGAAUCAAGCACUGGAGAAUGAAACCAUUUUAUUGUGAAUGCCAUGAGCCCUGCGACUUCAGAGAGCACAUUUCGAGGAUCAUUUGUGAGAAAAGCUGUCAUGGAAAAGCUUUGAUUCAACUAAGCCCCUGACGGUGAACCUAUGGCACACAGAGACCUCUCUGUGGGCAUUUAGUUACCGGAAAGGCAGAGGUCUCCUGAGAGUAGAGUUCUAGUAUCACCAUCCUUCUACUCCCUCCUCCGCUUCUCUGUGCCUCCUCCAUAUGAGAGAGCCAUUGCUGCAUCCUACCUCCUCCUGGUCCAUUCCACUGCAUUUCAGCUCAUUCCAUUCACUUCAAGUCUUCCAUCCAUACACGCCCCUUCAAAAUAUCUAGGUGAUGAUGCCACUCUCAGGGGACACAAAUGACAUUUUCCCAUAUAGGAAUCAAACACUUUGACAUUUAUGAUUGCUUAUGAUUUGGAUUGCUCAUGAUUAAUUUCAUAAUAAUAAUUAAUUACCUUUGUUAUUUUUCUUAUAGAUCAGAUUUUCUUCUGAGGUGUGGGUUUUCCCCAGAAAUACUUGAAACACCUUUAGUUUGUUAAAUGGCCUCUUUUUACCUUUUAAAAUUAUGCUCAUCUUUGCUGAAUAUAUUAUUUUUGGUGGGAUGCCCAUUUUAUUUGCAGAGCUUGUUUCUAAGAGAAGGUAUGUAUGUGCAUCAUUGUUUGAAAAGGCUAUUUGAGAACACAACCAUAUUUCCAAACUAAAAUUCAUGCUAAAAUGUUUUAAAAUUUUUUUUCCAUUUUAUACUCUUUCCCACUCCUAAAUCCCAUUGAACAAAACAAUUCCCUGUUCCAUCACAAGUACGUGGAUGAAUGUUUUCCACUUUCUCCAUGCCACACAAUUUUGUUUGCAGCAUCUUAGGUUCCUUACCUCUUCCAAAAGGUGAGUAAUGCUUUUCAACGUCAGUCUUCUGAUUUAGUGGUUUUCAUCAAAUUGAAUAAGGUUUUAAAUUUUUUGGAAUAUUUUCUAUGUAAAGUGUACAUUUUUCUCCUGAAUUAGAAUUGGCAUCAGUUCAUAAAGGCGUUGCAACUUUCCUCUGACACUCUAUUUUUCAUAAUUUCUUGAAGAACAAUAAUUAUCCAUUGCAUUUACACAAUAUGAUUUGGUUAUUUAUUCCAUGAUAGGGACAGGAUCUGAGUUUUCCAUUCUUUAUAGUUCAGUCAUAUCUGACACUAUCAGACUCCAUGUGCUGAUGUCUUAGGAAAAAUACAAGAGUGGUUUUAAAUUUCCUUCACCAGUUCAUUGGAUGAAAGAAGAAAGUGAGACAAGCAAGGAUCAUUUAAGUGAUAAGCAGUUAGUAAGUGUCAGAGGAUAUAUUUGAACUCCGGAAGAGGAAUAUCAACAUUAUUUCAAAAGAGCAUCUAGAAGCCUAGAUUUAAUUUUGGUUACAAUUA